RNAcentral lists this long non-coding RNA (2434 nucleotides) under Gallus gallus (chicken). Lineage: Eukaryota; Metazoa; Chordata; Aves; Galliformes; Phasianidae. The record is from RNAcentral.
GGGUUCUCAUGACCGAUGCCUGUUCCAUCUACACAGAAGGAACAAACCAGGAUUCUCUGCGGAUGUUUAGCACGGAUGUGUAGGUCACAGAACUCUGAUAUUAUGGCAAGAGCAGAGCAGUAGUAAUAAUUCUUCUGAAGAAAGUUGCCAACGAACUGUUGAACAUUUUAUCCAGGCCGAUCCCCUCAGGGCCGCCCCCGCCGCCUUCCAUGCCGGGCGGCGAGGGGAGGAGGGGGGCACGGGCGAGGCGGCGGAGGGCGGGUGGAGGAGGCGAGGCGGGAGGGCGGAGGGCAGGGCGGCCGGGGCCCUCCCUCUCCUCCUUCCCUCCCUCCGCUCGGCCCCCUCAGUCGCCUCCGAGGCGCUCCGAGCGGCCGCCGCCUCGGGCUGAAGGCCCGGGCUCCGCCAGCGGACGCGGCUCCCGCUCGGACUCCGGCUCAGCGCUCCCCUCCGCCGCCGCCGCAGCGCUACGUGGCCGCCCGCAGCCAGUCUCGCGACUCCGCCGCGCGCACGCGCGGGCACGCGCCGAGGAGGUGGUUGCCGCGGGCGCGCGCGGGGGGGAGACACCCAUAGGCUGAGGGGAGGGCGAGCGGCACGAGGCGCGCAGCGGCGCAUGCGCGGUUGCUUCCCCCCCCCUUCCCUCUCUAUUCAGCUUAGGCGGUGGAGGGGACGCGGAGCGCAGGUGAGCGCACGGUGGGGGGGAGCUGUGCGCAUGCGCAGCGCCCGGCGGGGUUCAGGUGAGGCGCGCGCGCGACGGAAGGAGGCGCCGAGCGGCGGCUGCCCCCGGCCGGGCCGACCGUUACUCCGCUGAGGUAAUGAAGGAGGCCGCCCUAAUUGCAGUCAGCUGAGCUGGGCAAGCUGCGGCUUCGCUCCGGCCCACGCCUCCUUCCCGCGGGCACCUCCGUGGCUCUGCUGAAGGCGGAAGGAGGGAUGGAGGUAACGCUUCGCCGAGCCGCUGAAAGGGGCCGUGCGGAUCUCCUGGGGCCUCCCCUCAGGAGCCAGGGCCUGUGUGAUCUGAGAGGGAGUGAUGCGACAAGACAUGGAUUUCACUGAUAGAACUCGCAGCUUGGGGCAGAGAGAAAAACUGAAGGAGAACUCUUACCAAGGAUACAUCAUCCAGAAUGAGGCCAAAAGUUGCUGCUCUCUCUGUGAGGUCUUCACUCACUUGCCUGGAGACCAGUUCUCUUUGAGUGAUCAACUCUCCAGCAUCAAAGCGAGCCUGAGCGAGAAGAAAGCUCUCAGAAUCUCUGCUUGUCACCCAACUCCAUGAAAGUAAAGCCAAGUAGUUAGAAUGACAGGGAAGCAAUUAGCAUGGCUACAGUUUUAACUCUUCUGGAUUGCCUGUUAGAGCCAAGGAGUAGAAAGAGAAGCCUCAUUUUGGAGCUUUACAUUUUCCACAAUUCAGCAGGUCCCAUCAGUGCUAAAACAAAAGAGAGGUGAGGGGUGGAGCCCAGCAGCAUUCAUGCUAUUCUUACCACAACAGACUUGAGGAUUUCAGUUGUGAUGGAGGGCAGGACGCGCUCAUCGUAGUCCUCUCCAAUACUUGUGAAAAUCCGGGGUAACUGCGCAGUCACCGGUCUGAACAGGAUACGCAGUGUGAUGUUCACAUUCUGUAGAUCUGCAGAAAUAGUCACAAAUUUAGCAGCAGACCUCAUGGGCAGGAGAUAUCUUGAUGUUGUCCUCUCCAGAGGAAAGCAAAAUAAGACAAAAUAAACAUUCAGACUUCUGAGAAAGGAAAGGUUUUUAGUAUUUCUUUCACCAAGGACUGCUUUUCACCUAGGGAUCCAAAUGCUCCUUACAGAUUAAAUUUAAGCUUCAGUUUGUCUGUAAUGCAGGGAAUUACUGACCCUACUGCAAACAAAGAAAUUUCUUAUUUAAGGGACAAAUAUCAAACUAUUCCUGACUGCUAAACUCUGCACACAUUGAAUCUCCACGUUCAGAAAAGAAAGCCCUCAUGCCUAUAGUACUUUUCAGCAGGUUAACGAUCAUAAAAGUCUUGAUUGUGGGAAAGCUUCUUCUCAUGCCUCUGUUCACCCAGCUGCAAAGCAGCAAAAGAGUGAGACACACACACAGCACAUCAGACUGCCCAGAUCUUGUAGAGCUGCCCAGUCCAAAACUCACCUUUGCUGCCAGUGAUGACAGGUAUGUUACGUGGGCGAGAACGGCAGUCAAAAAUGAUUGGUUUCUGUACCCAGGGGAUGAGGAAGUGAGUGCCUUCUCCUACCACUGUGUCCUGGACCCCACGGAAUCGAUCAAAGAUAACAGCUCUGUGUCCUGCAUCAACAUUGUAUAGAGCAGAAUUGACAACUCCACCUGCAACAGCCAGCCCCAGGCCGAACUUCCCAAUGCUUUCAAACACUUUGGCAGCCAUUUCACACGUGCAGUUCUAGCCCCUUUAAGAAGUACCUCCUCCACAUGAAUCCACGGCCGCCCACCC